UGUUAGCUAGUUGGUGGGUAGUGGCCUACCAAGGCAAUGAUGGGUAGCCGGGUUGAGAGACCGACCGGCCAGAUUGGGACUGAGACACGGCCCAGACUCCUACGGGAGGCAGCAGUGGGGAAUCUUGCACAAUGGGCGAAAGCCUGAUGCAGCGACGCCGCGUGCGGGAUGAAAGCCUUCGGUUGUAAACCGCUUUCAACAGGGACGAGGCCGCAAGGUGACGGUACCUGCAGAAGAAGCCCCGGCUAACUACGUGCCAGCAGCCGCGGUAAAU
RNAcentral lists this ribosomal RNA (274 nucleotides) under uncultured Atopobium sp. RNAcentral's name for it is "partial 16S ribosomal RNA". It matches the Rfam family "Bacterial small subunit ribosomal RNA", at positions 239 to 525 of the family's 1533-position model. Lineage: Bacteria; Bacillati; Actinomycetota; Coriobacteriia; Coriobacteriales; Atopobiaceae. The record is from RNAcentral.